GGUGUCCAUCCUGGAGGCAGUUUGUGGCAUCAUGGUGGGUGUGAGAUCCCCCUGGGUGGUAGCAUUCCCUGUGUUCUGUCUUUAUCAUUUACUCCACAGGCAGCUCUGAAUCCACAGCUGCUGACAGCACAGCAAGGCAGCCUAACCAAUAGGCUGGGCCUCUCUCUGCAGGAAGGAGAGUUUGGAGUGAUUUGCAGUAGAGCCUAUUUCAGCACAAUCUGUUUACUUUUCUUAUACAUUGUCAUAGGUUAAGUUGACAUGGCAAGGAGCUGUGCGGUGUAGGGCAAAAUGCUUAUUACAGUUAAAUAAAAAAACUGUGUUCUUCUGUACAAUUAAUCUGAUGUUAGCUCAUGUUUAAUGAGCUCAUAUGUGCUGUAUUAGUGGCUUAAGCUGCCAGAAACAAGUACCACAGCUGGAUGGAUUGAGCAAAAGAAAUCUAUUUUUUUUCUCACAACUUUAGAGUCCAGGAUCAAGGCAACAGCAGGUUUGGUUCUUUCUGAUGUUGUAAAAGACACACUUGUCAUAAUUCUCACUCAGUGUCUGGUGAUGUGCUGGCAAUCUUUGAUAUUCCUUGGCAUGUAGAAAAAUCACUUGGAUCUGCCUUGGUCUUACCAUCAUCCUCUUCCUGUGUGCACAACUGUUUCCAAGUCCCCCCUUUUAUGAGAGUGCAUGCGAGUGAAUGGAGUUAAGAGUGCUUAGUGACCCUCUUGUUAAUACCUUCAGUGACUUUUUAAAAAUUUAUUUUUAAUUAAUUUUUUCAUUCAGUAAUUCUUUUUUUCUUUUUUUCUUAGAUGUUUUCUUCAGUUAUAUUUCAAAUGCUAUCCCCUUUCCUAGUUUCCUCUCCAAAAAUCCCCUAUACCCUCCCCAUCCCCCUGUUCCCCAACCCACCCAUUCCUCUUUCCUGGUCCUGGCAUUCACCUAUACUGGGGCAUAGAAUCUUUGCAAGGCCAAGGGCCUCUCCUCCCAUUGAUGGCUCUGGGGAUACUAGUUAGUUCAUAUUGUUGUUCCUCCUAUAGGGCUGAAAGACUCCUUCAGCUCCUUGGGUAAUUUCUCUAGCUCCUUCAUAGGGGACCCUGUGUUCCAUCCAAUAGAUGACUGUGAGCAUCCACUUCUGUAUUUGCCAGGCACUGGCAUAGCCUCACAGGAGACAGCUAUAUCAGGGUCCUGUCAGCAAAAUGUUGUUGGUAUAUGCAAUAGUGUCUGGGUUUGGUGGUUGUUUAUGGGGUGGAUCCCUGGGUGGGGCAGUCUCUGGAUGGUCCUUCCUUCAGUCUCAGCUCCGAACUUUCUCUCUAUAACUCCUUCCUUGGGUAUUUUGUUCCCCAUUCUAAGAAGGAACGAAGUAUCCACACUUUGGGCUUCCUUCUUCUUGAGUUUCAUGUGUUUCGCAAAUUGUAUCUUGGGUAUUCUAAGUUUCUGGGCUAAUAUCCUCUUAUCAGUGAGUGUAUAUCCUGUGUGUUCUGUUGUGAUUGGGUUACCUCACUCAGGAUGAUAUUGUCCAGAUCCAUCCAUUUGCCUAAGAAUUUCAUAAGAUCAUUGUUUUUAAUAGCUGAGUAGUACUCGAUUGUGUAAAUUCUGUAUUCAUUCUUCUGUUGAGGGACAUCUGGGUUCUUUUCAGCUUCUGGCUAUUAUAAAUAAGACUGCUAUGAACAUAGUGGAGCAUGUGUACAUAUUACAAGUUGGAGCAUCUUCUGGGUAUAUGCCCAGGAGUGGUAUUGCUGGAUCUUCCGGUAGUACUAUGUCCAAAUUUUUGAGGAACCACCAAACUGAUUUCCAGGGUGUUGUACCAGCUUGCAAUCCCACCAGCAAUAGAGGAGUAUUCCUCUUUCUCUACAUUCUCACCAGCAUCUGCUGUCACCUGAAUUUUUGAUCUUAGCCAUCCUGACUAGUGUGAGGUGGAAUCUCAGGGUUGUUUUGAUUUGCAUUUCCCUGAUGAUUAAGGAUAUUGAACAUUUUUUCAGGUGCUUCUCAGCCAUUUGGUAUUCCUCAGUUGAGAAUUCUUUGUUUAGCUGUACCCCAUUUUUAAAAAGGGUUAUUUGGCUUUCUCGAGUCCUGCUUCUUGAGUUCUUUAUUUAUAUUGGAUAUUAGUCCCCUACCAGAUUUAGGAUUGGUAAAGAUCUUUUCCCAAUCUGUGGGUUGCCUUUUGGUCUUACUGACAGUGUUCUUUGCCUUACAGAAGCUUUGCAAUUUUAUGAGGUUCCAUUUGUCGAUUCUUGAUCUUACAGCACAAGCCAUUGCUGUUCUGUUCAGGAAUUUCCCCUCUGUGCCCAUAUCUUUGAGGCUUUUCUCCACUUUCUCCUCUAUAAGUUUCAGUGUCUCUGUGUCUUAAGAUUUCUUUCCUUCUUUCUUUCUUUCUUUCUUUCUUUCUUUCUUUCUUUCUUUCUUUCUUUCUUUCUUAAUGAUUUAUUUAUUUAUUUAUUUAUUUAUUUAUUUAUUUAUUUAUUUAUUUAUUUAUAUGUUCUUGCGCGCGCCGGACUGGCCAGCAGUAACGACACUGCAACAGGAUCCUUCUGCACACGUUUAUUGGGAGAGCUUGAUUGUAGAGGCAAAGAGACUUCGAGUCCAGAACUGGUGCUGCUUUUAUAGGCCUAGGAGAGGCGUGUCUCAUACCCGGAUUGGUUAUGCACUAAGCCUCAUUUGCAUGUUCCUCAUCUGAUUGGCUACUCUCUCUCAGUACCUCACAGAGCCUCAUUAUCAUACCUCAUUUGCAUGUCUCACAUCCGAUUGGUUACUCUCUUAGUACCUUACAGAACCUCAUUAUCAUGCAUCAUUUGCAUGUCUCACAUCUGAUUGGUUAUACUCUCAGUACCUUACAGAACCUCAUUAUCAUGCCUGGGCCAGGCAGUGUCUUUGCAAAAAACUUUACUGCAUAUGUACACAUUGGUUGUUUGUCCAAUCUUAUGCAUGGUGGCCAGCAGUAGUCAGUGCCACUCAGCAACGGCACAUGUGGCUUCCCACAAUAUGUGAUGAAACCUAAUGAAACCUCCGAACACCACAGCCUAAUGGAACUCCCUGGGUGGGUAGCACGGUGUGCUAGGAGAAGUUUAUUAUUUACCUUUGUAAAGCUGAGAGCACAAUACUCAAAGGAACAACUUAAAAGAAGAGAGAUGGACUUCAGCUCACUGUUUCAGGAUGGGCUCCAUGAGGUGGGCAACAACAUCAUGGAGAGAUCAGACAUACUGAGGAGAGAGAUGGCUUAUGUCACUCAGAGCUUGCCCUAUCUCCAUCUAGCUGCUUUUCAAUCUACCUCUGUCACACCCGCCCCAGAAGUCCAAUGAGAAGAUGAAGAAUCUUAGAGAGAUUUCCAAACUAUAGAGGCUGCCAAAGUAGGAGAGAGGCUGGGGAAGGGGACAGGGGCCAUCUUGGUUUUUGUUAGUUUUCAAGUCACAUGCACAGGGUCAUGGAAACAAGCCCCUUUGUGUGUCCACUAUGAGAUAUCGUUCUUUUGCCCCUUUAACUCUCUGUAAAGGUCCACUGCAGCUUUAGCUUUUAUGAUCCAGUAGUCUGAGAGACUCUAAGUUUGCAAGCGCUUACCCCAUCUGCCGACUGAGGGUUGGGCUUUGUGAGCUGCCUAAGAACCUGUUCUGCUUCUGCCCAGGGCUAGGAUCUUGCUCCACUUCUGACUCUCUAGACAGUGUUGCUCUGCCUAUGUCUUCCCGAGCCUCACCGCAGGAGAAUCAGCUAAGAGACAUCUCUUCUGGUAGUACCCCCAUAUGACUCUGCUUUGGUCCUGUGUUGCAGUCUGCCCAAAAGAAGAUCCCUGUUGCACCUUCUGUGUUGAAUGAGUUUCUUGAAUGACAAUGAAAUUUACAAUAAAACUAUGGACAUUA
Molecule: long non-coding RNA, 3827 nt
Organism: Mus musculus (house mouse)
Lineage: Eukaryota; Metazoa; Chordata; Mammalia; Rodentia; Muridae
Product: predicted gene, 32681
Exons: 3
Source: RefSeq, a predicted model, not a curated record